Molecule: ribosomal RNA, 726 nt
Filed under: Thelonectria coronata
Lineage: Eukaryota; Fungi; Ascomycota; Sordariomycetes; Hypocreales; Nectriaceae
Description: eukaryotic LSU rRNA
Rfam family: Eukaryotic large subunit ribosomal RNA
Source: RNAcentral
GUUCCCUGGAACGGGACGCCAUAGAGGGUGAGAGCCCCGUCUGGUCGGACACCGCGCCUCUGUAAAGCUCCUUCGACGAGUCGAGUAGUUUGGGAAUGCUGCUCUAAAUGGGAGGUAUAUGUCUUCUAAAGCUAAAUAUUGGCCAGAGACCGAUAGCGCACAAGUAGAGUGAUCGAAAGAUGAAAAGCACUUUGAAAAGAGAGUUAAAAAGUACGUGAAAUUGUUGAAAGGGAAGCGAUUAUGACCAGACUUGGGCCUGUUUGAUCAGCUUGGGUUCUCCCGGGUGCACUCUCUCAGGCCUAGGCCAGCAUCAGUUCGUAGCGGGGGAAAAAUGUCGCGGGAAUGUAGCUCCCCUCGGGGAGUGUUAUAGACUGCUUCGUAAUACCCUGCGUUGGACUGAGGUUCGCGCACUUGUGCAAGGAUGCUGGCGUAAUGGUCAUCAUCGACCCGUCUUGAAACACGGACCAAGGAGUCGUCUUCGUAUGCGAGUGUUCGGGUGUUAAACCCCUACGCGAAAUGAAAGUGAACGCAGGUGAGAGCUUCGGCGCAUCAUCGACCGAUCCUGAUGUUCUCGGAUGGAUUUGAGUAAGAGCAUACGGGGCCGGACCCGAAAGAAGGUGAACUAUGCCUGUGUAGGGUGAAGUCAGAGGAAACUCUGAUGGAGGCUCGCAGCGGUUCUGACGUGCAAAUCGAUCGUCAAACAUGGGCAUGGGGGCGAAAGACUAA